Small nucleolar RNA from Otolemur garnettii (small-eared galago), 137 nucleotides. The record is from Ensembl. Lineage: Eukaryota; Metazoa; Chordata; Mammalia; Primates; Galagidae.
GGCAUUUCUUCCUCUUUGCCAAGAGAAAAGGGAGGUGAUGGAUGUGGUGUCAAAAAAGGCGUAAAUUAAAUACCUUGCAGUCUUUCCCUGCCCUUAAAUUUGGUAUCUUUGGUGUAGGGACUACAUAAGGGGCAGUC